UAAUUCUAUAACUCCUCCCGCUCCUUACCAGAUGAUGGCGGUAAUACACACAGACUACAACAGACUACAUGUCCGAUGGCUAAACAAGUAGUAAUAGCGAUGAGAAGACGCGCGCGCCAGAUGUGAGGACAGUGAGAAGUACAGCUACAGUAUGGAGAAGUCCCCAUUUAUGCCCCAUUGGGAUUUGUUUUGUUGAAGGAAGUACAAGAAACUGAUCUCCAAUGGAACAGAUGCUGGUAAACAUCGGACGGGCAUUUUGGCGAGACUGCGCAGAAGCUGGAGCCAUAUCAGACGCGCAUUUUGAUGUUGUUGUACUCUUAAAGAAUGCCAAAGAAAAUCGCAUUCUUGUGAGGCCUGUCUGCCAGCCUUCUGUUGUUUAUUAAAGAUUCCAAAUGUGGAUAACUUAUGCCCUCAGUACAGAAGCAUUUCAAAUGCUGAGCAUGGCAUAGAAGUUGCUCUUGAGUUUCACCAAAUAGAAGAUGAUGUCAGUGAGCCAGAAGCACCCACUCAAAGCAGUGAUGAAGAUGAUGUUUCAGAGUAGGAGGAUGAAGGUAAUAAAGGUGUGGCAAAGUCAGAUGAGAAAUGGCUUCCUCCGACACAAGGAUCUGAAAGUGAAGAGGCAGAGGGGCCAUACAUGAAGCAGCUUUGCUCUGACUGUGGAGUCUUUCAUUAUAACAAAACAAACCACGUAUGUGAGUUCAAAAUUAAACUAUAUCUUUGUAAUGUCUGUGGUAAGAGAUGUGUCACUGAACAUUCUCUUAAAGUAUGCUGCAACAUACACAGUGAAACAUAUGAACAUUAUUGUAAAUAUUGCUAUACCACCUUUAAAACUAAACCGGACAAACUUGCACAUAAAGAGAUCCACUAGAAUCAACCAAAACCAUUCCAGUGUCCUGAUUGCACAAUGAUAUUUGCCUCAGCAUACUAUACAUGUGACAUAUGUGGAAUUGUUUUCCUAACAAGGAACAGUUUCCAGAGACAUGAAAUGACCCACACAGGAAUGAAACCCCACAAGUGUUCAAUAUGUAAGAGAACUUUUACCCAGCAAAGUCACCUAAAGUCACACAUGUGCAUGCACACGGGAACAGCCUUAUAAAUGUCACCACUGUGACAAAUCUUUUAACCACAAUGUCAGUCUUAAGAGCCACACCCAGUGCUACCACCCACUGGAGUCUGGGGAAAAAACACGACAAGGGAUUGUGAUGAUGUGACUGACACAAACGACAUUGUUCAAAACCAGGACACGGAGAAGAUUCAGAAGGCCAAAAAAAAAAAAGAUACCCAAGUGUGAGCAAAUGAUCCUGGUCGAAAUAAUCUGAUCUUUAAUAACGGUACUGAUAAAAGUAAAACAAUACACCAUAGUGUUGAAACAAACACAUUAUGUAUAAAAUGAAAAAUGUAUGAGUACAAUAAUAUGAAUAAAACACAUGAUGCUAUAGGUGAAUGUUAUACUGAGAUUGUUACACGUGUGAAAUACCUAAUAACACAGUUCAUUAAUUAUUUUUGGAACUUAAAUUCCUGUUGUCAGACGUGACUAUGCCUAGAGCAGGGCAAAAAACACAAGAAAGCUAUUUGGUUACCUAGUAAGUAUGCAUUAUUGGUUAAGAUGCUCCUCUAGAUCUGAAGUUCCAUAAAAAUGAAUUAUUGAUGAUUCAAAUUUAUGUACUGGUUAAAAUGGAACUAAACACUACAUAAACCUUUUUGUUACUAAACUCUGUGUAUGGUGUUUUAAUAUUGUCUACUAGUGCUUUUUGUCAUUUUAAUGUAAA
Long non-coding RNA from Boleophthalmus pectinirostris (great blue-spotted mudskipper), 1769 nucleotides. RefSeq lists it as uncharacterized. The transcript has 4 exons. Lineage: Eukaryota; Metazoa; Chordata; Actinopteri; Gobiiformes; Gobiidae. The record is from RefSeq and is a predicted model, not a curated record.